Molecule: long non-coding RNA, 2743 nt
Filed under: Leguminivora glycinivorella
Lineage: Eukaryota; Metazoa; Arthropoda; Insecta; Lepidoptera; Tortricidae
Description: uncharacterized LOC125228127
Source: RNAcentral
AUUAAGACGGAAAGAGACUAAACUUCGGGCCUCUUUCCCAUGUGACAGCUUGGCAAAAAAGAGUAGAAAUUGAACUAUUUUUUUUAUCAUGGCUACACUUACUGUUUUCAUACAAAAGAGACGUCAAAGUGAUUCAAUAGUUGCCAUAUGCAAGACGUUUUACAUAGACAGUGGUGCCCCUAUUAUUUUCUACUCUUUUUUGCCAGACUGUAUAUAGACGGUCAAGCAAAUCGUGAGAACAAAAUUCAAAUUUUCUAUGGGACGACAAUGUAUGAGCACAUUAUUCAAAUUUGCCGCCAUUUUUUACUCUCAUGCUUUGCUUAACCAUCUAUAGUUACAUUAUCUAGGUUGGACUUGUGAUUACUGAUGUAUUUAUUGGGUAAAAAAAAAACUGAUACUGGCAACAUUUUCAAGUUGUCAUCCAACAAACCAAGCUAACGGCCGAAUGUGAUCUGCUCGUGUACUGUUCUGUGCUCUUUUCGCUCGUUUUUUUGCGUCGUUGUCAUUGCUGUGAAAGUGUUAUGGUGGUAAAAUUAACUUGGUGAUUGCAAUCGCAAGUAUACCUACUAAAAUAAUGGAAGAAGACACAGAAAACAAAUUGGUAUCCUGGGAUUUGCCGUCAGUAGUCGUCGAGAACUUUAAAAAAAAUGAUAUAAGCAAGGAACAGUUCAAAUAUUUGGUUUUAAAUGAUACUUGAAAGAGCUUUGCAAACACAUUGUGCACCGAAUUAAACUAAAAAGUAAACUACAAGAUUACUUAGACUCAGUUACUGAUACUGAAACUGCAUACUUCUUCAAUGAAGAUUUAAUGGUUAUUAAAGCGAAAACAAACUGUAUAGAAGUGAUGCAAGUUGAUCAAGAUCAGUCAGUUAUUCUGACAGACAUUACUUUGGAUUUGGAUUCCUACUUAAGUGUACCAAGUAGGCUUUCACUGCCAUAAUUUGAAUUGAAGAGUAUCCGCCAAUGUACUCCACAAGUAAAUAGUGUUCUAAAUUAUUAUCAAAAAUACAAACAAUUGAACUCGCAAAAAAGAAGCAUCAUUGUUGAUGUUUUGGUGAAAUAUCACUACACAUUUAUUGUUAACAACAACAUCAAACCAGAAGAAUUCAAUUUGCUAGCUGCAAAAAUAGUUUCACUUUUCCCAACUGAAAGUAUAUAUACCUACUAUAUGAAAGCUGUGCCAACAUGCAAAUCUGCUUCAAGAAAAUAUGUGCCCGCUAAAGGCAAAUUAGUGGACAAGGUUCGAAAUCUCCUGUACAUAUCAGGAGAAAAGUGCAGGGGCUUAAACCCACUUGCUCUAAUAGGGAUUCGGAUACAGAUGUAGAGUCUGUGGAAAAUAAUCAAGGGACUGCUUCAAAUGACGACGCUAUUUGGCUGAAAUAUAAUGAGCUAUGGGACCAAGUUUGUGAAAGGUGGAAUAACACCUUUGAAUUAAGACACAAACAAUUGAAACUGUACAUGAUUUUCUUGAAACCUGGGCCAUUUGAAAAGACAGCAAAGUAGAUACUCUGCAAUGACAACGACGCAAAAAAACGAACGAAAAGAAAAAGAGCACACAAGCAGAUCACAUUCAGCCAUUAGCAUUCAGUUUGUUGGAUGACAACUUGAAAAUGUUCAAAUUCAAAUGGGAUUCAAGUUCAACCCAGGACCUUGUACUUCAUAGGCAGAGUCACUACCCACGAAGAAAGAUACAGAGGCCGUUAAAACACAAAAUAAUUCCGGUGCAGAUUUACCUGCUAUAUUUUUUAAUACCACCCAAAGGCCGGAAAUCUAGGAAAGUCAAAUUCUCAACCACUGAAUCAAUCCAGGGCUUAUUAGUUCAGAUAGAUGACGCCGGAGAUAUCGACAGCGUAAUCGCAGCCCAGAAAGCUAAGGCUGCAGCCCGGAAGGAUACCGUGCAACCCUCCGUGCUCAUACAGCGACCGCUACAAAACUUCGCCCAGAUAUACAUCGUUAUUCAUGAUAUCAAAUACCACGUGCAUUCAGCUGCAAAGACGUUCGACUUGUUGUUUAAGAUUUACCACGUUUUUCACGCCAAGUAUCCCCAAGUGUGUGAGCACCUCCACGUAAUUAUUCAAAAAAAGUGUAUCAAAUCCAUACGGUAUAUGAUACAGUAGGUACCACCGUAUAUAGUUGACGUUUUAAACUUAGACGUUUUAAUUUUAUUAUAGUAUAGGAUCCGUACUAAGCUCGAUCUUCACCAACGUGUUAACCAGAUGAAAAUAAGUUUCAGAACAUGUCUCCUCAAUAAAAAUGAAUGGUCAAGAUUAUUUUUUAAAAAUCUUUGAAUUUUUUUUUAUAUAAUCUUGACCAUUUUUAUUGAGGUUACCAUAGUAAGACAUGUUCAAAAACUUAUUUUACUUAAUAAAAUAUUAUUUUCACCUGGUUAACACGUCGGUGAAGAUCGAGCUUAGUACGGAUCUUAGACUAUAAAGUUCUUGAAAUGUAAAAAUAUACUAAGCUACAGAAAUUGUAUCUAUGACAUUUGGUCUUAUGUACCUACUUAAGUAUUUGCACCAUCUAUUUACAAUUGACGUGAUUUAUUCUAAGUUUGACUUGUAGAGAAUCUUGGUACUUUGUAGCUCUAAUCAAUCUUGGUAGCUCACACAUUUAUGUACCUAUAUGCUUAUAAGUCAAAAUGUUUUCCGUUCUAAAUUCAAUUUUAAUACUGUAUAGUGAUACUCAUAGGUUCUGAAUUUGUAAUUACUUUCUUUAACUGGUGCAUAAAAUAAAUGAGAAACUUA